UACGGGGGGGGCAAGCGUUGUUCGGAAUUACUGGGCGUAAAGGGCCAGUAGGCGGCCAACUAAGUCGGAUGUGAAAUCCCCAGGCUUAACCUGGGAACUGCAUCCGAUACUGGAUGGCUUGAAUUCGGGAGAGGGAUGCAGAAUUCCAGGUGUAGCGGUGAAAUGCGUAGAUAUCUGGAGGAAUACCGGUGGCGAAGGCGGCAUCCUGGACCGACAUUGACGCUGAACGGCGAAAGCUAGGGGAGCAAACAGG
This 253-nucleotide ribosomal RNA is filed under the name uncultured bacterium. Its description in RNAcentral is "partial 16S ribosomal RNA". It matches the Rfam family "Bacterial small subunit ribosomal RNA", at positions 524 to 776 of the family's 1533-position model. The record is from RNAcentral.